Molecule: ribosomal RNA, 492 nt
Filed under: uncultured bacterium
Lineage: Bacteria
Description: partial 16S ribosomal RNA
Rfam family: Bacterial small subunit ribosomal RNA
Source: RNAcentral
AGUGAACGCUGGCGGUAGGCCUAACACAUGCAAGUCGAACGGCAGCACAGUAAGAGCUUGCUCUUACGGGUGGCGAGUGGCGGACGGGUGAGGAAUACAUCGGAAUCUACUUUUUCGUGGGGGAUAACGUAGGGAAACUUACGCUAAUACCGCAUACGACCUACGGGUGAAAGCAGGGGAUCUUCGGACCUUGCGCGAUUGAAUGCGCCGUUUUCGGGUUACCUAGUUGGCGGGGUAAAGGCCCAACAAGCCGACAACCCGUAGCCGGUCUAAGAGGAUGAUCAGCCACACUUGAAAGGAGACAAGGUCCAGAAUCCUAAGGGAGACAAAAGUGGGGAAUAUUGGAAAAUGGGCACAAGACUGAUCCAACCAUACCGAGUGGGUGAAAAAGGCCAUCGGGUUGUAAAGCCCUUUUGUUGGGAAAGAAAAGCAGCAGGUUAAUACCACGCUGUUCUGACGGUACACAAAGAAUAAGAACCGGCUAACUUCGUG